This 3302-nucleotide long non-coding RNA is filed under the name Lynx pardinus (Iberian lynx). Lineage: Eukaryota; Metazoa; Chordata; Mammalia; Carnivora; Felidae. The record is from RNAcentral.
CGAAGACAUCAGGCUGGGCAGAGUUGAGAAAAUGCACAGACACAGAGGGAGUCAUUUUUCAGAGUCUCCAAUUUGGGAAAGGUGUAACUUCUGGGAUCCAGAGGAGAGGAUUUGAGAAGAGUCAGCGCCUGCUGCCCCCCGAGGGGUGCUGGGUGAUUCUCAGUGGAUGGAUGUGGGUCUACGGGAGGACGUGUGCGUCUAUGCCUAGUUCUAUGAACGUGUGAAUGUGUGUGUAUUUCUGCCCCGGUCUGUGUGUUUGUAUGCCGUCUGCACGUAGAGGGGAGGCAGGCUGCUGUGCCCGUCCGUGCGUGUGUCUGUUGUUCCGUCCGUACAUUUCUGUGUGUGGCUCUAUUUAUAUGUGUGUUUCCAUAUGUCUACGUGUGUGAGUGUCUGUGCUAGUGACCCUGUGUGUGUCGGAGUUGGGGGGGGUGGGUAGAUUCGUGUGUGUCUGUGUCUGUGUAUUUGUAUUUGUGCCUGUAUGUGUGUGUGUGUGUGUGUCAGUGUCCGUGAGGGUCUGUGUGUGUGUGUGUGUGCCUGGGUGGGGGAUGGUGUGGUGUGGCCCGCCUCCCACCCCCCCCCCGCCCCCCCGAUGUUUCGGUGGCGCUGAUCUAACUUGUCCUGCAGAACUGGGGAAAUGACAACGUCAGUACGUCUAGCCUUAUCUCCCAGCCUGCCGCUCUGUCAGAGGAAAUGAGGUUUGCUUGGCACAUCUACUCUUUAUGAUGUCAUUUUGGCUGUGAUCUGCGUGUCCUGCUCCCCUAGGUAUUUUUGUCUUUUGAUCGCCUAAUGAAUACCUGCCAACGUAGAGAUGAAGAGAGCAGGCAUUUUGGAGGGGUUUUUUUCAAGAAUUUUUUUUUUUUUUUUUAAAGCAUGUUAGCUGUCCAUCUCUUUGCUGUGGACUUGGAAACCACGGUAAAGGGUUUAGAGCUCUGGCUUCGAAAUGCUAAGACUUCGGCUCAAGUCUUCAGUUGGCCCUUUCAAAAGCUGUGUGACCUUGGAGGGGACACUGUGCGUCUCGGAGCCACAGCUCUUUUCCUGCUAACUUCAGAAAGUUCUUUGGAGGGGCAAAUAUAAUAACAGAAGACUAUGCUCUCAGAAAUCCACACAGUCCUUAGAUGGCAUGAUGUCAAGGCAGAAAGGCCCAGCAAGAGGCCUCUGGGCUCAGAGGUCAGGCAGACUCUGGGUUUGGGUCCUGGCUCCCUUCUUUUCCCAGUGUAUGACAUUGAGCAAGUUAUUAUACCUCUCUGAGCCUCAGAUCGCUUCUGUGAUAAAUAGGAUAGUGCAUCUAAAGCACUCAGCCCACUGCUGGCCACCGUGAGGACCCCCAAAAUGAGAGCUGUCAAUAUUUUUAAUAAUGCAGGAAAGGUGACAGCAGUAGUUAUCAUUUGUCCCCUUUCAGACUUGCAGUGAGUAUAAGCAAGAUAAAGACUUUGGAAGUGCAGGGUGAAAUGGGGAGUGUGAUAGGAGUGAUUUACUAUUAUUUGUUUUUACUAUUUCAAGAUGCAGCAUCGGCAGAGUGUUCUUGGCAUCACCACACUCUUGGCAAGUGCUUCGCGUUUCAUCUAGAACUCAGAGACCGUUCUAGUUGCACAGAAGGCUGAGAACAAGAUGGCCUCCAGCCCAGAGAGGUCUGGGCUGGCUGCCGGGGGCUGACUUCCCCAGGACUCAUCCCCAGCCCUUCCAACUGCACCCCUUCUGGAAGAUUGCCUCACUCCAUCCUCAACACCCCCCUUGCCUUGGAAGAUGCUCUUCCUUCCCCCUGGAAUAUUCCUCAUCACCGUUCUAUGCCCUAGAUCACCUGGGCUGGGAUCCAGGUGCCUCUGCCCGAGCUAACUCCCUGCUCUGUACCCCCAGGGCACCAUGGAUUCGCCCAACCAUGCAUGACAUCCAGGACACUGGAAUGCUCUGCUCUCUGUCUGGCUGCCUCCCAGCCGGUACCCUCCAGGAGGGCAGGGACAGGGACCACGAAACCCUCAGUGGAUGUUUGCAGAGUGGACACAUGGAGAUUGGCUGGCUCCUCUCAUUUUCUGGCCUUACCUCCCUCAGAGGCAAUACCUUCAGAUGGCAAUAUAUUCAUUUCAUCUGGACCCACUUCUGACAGCCAUUUUGUUCAGUAACAGAGAUGAUGGAAUAAUGUCGCCUGUUGAUUAUUUUGGGGGUUUUGGGUUUGCUUUCGAAACCGAUGGGUUUGCUUUUGAAACCGAUGGGUUCAUUUCCUCUGGACUGCUUGUCUCAAAUAAUGGUGCCACGCAGACCAGAGGACAAAAGAUUCCCAAGUGUUUGACCUGCUUCAGCCUGUGUUUUGGGGCUAACAUGUGGGUUUGCUGCAGUGACCAUGGAGCUCUUGCCAGAGCUGGGCUCCCAGGACAGAUGUUGGAAUGCUCUGCAAUUUCAGAUGAGUCUUUUCAUGGUCAGGUGGGCAUCACUCAAGGAGAGAUGUAUAGUCUAUCUGCCUGAUGAGGUGUGAGCCUCACAGUGCGAGCCUUUCUCUCACCUAAUAACCACCUGGCACACCCAGUUGGCAUUCUGGCAUUUGGGCCACCUCAUGGUGCAGAGCAGGGGUCACCAAAUGACACCCCUCAAGCCAAAUCUAGCCCACAACCUGUUUUUGUAAAUAAAGUUUUAUCGGAACACAGCCAUGCCCAUUCAUUUACCAUUCAAGGUCUAUGGCUGCUUUCGAACUAUAAUGGCAUAAUUGAGUAAUUGCGACAGAGACCGUAAGGCUUGCAAGGACUAAAAAAUUUUCUGUCUGGACCUUUAUCGGAACACCAGAUUAAAGAAGAAUCUGGUUGAGCUAAAUCAGUAACCCUGAGCAUCAUCCCAUCUCCUUGCUCUCCCUCAGCCUUGACAUUGGGCUGAUCGCCGAGACCAGAUUACUUUGCCCCACUAUACCAUACAUUUUCCACCCAUCUCUUCCUCAAGUGCCACUGCCUUGGCUUAACUCUGUCCCCACCCCUCUUGACUGUCACCAGGGCCACCAUGAGCCUAUAAGGUGUCUGGGUGAAUUAGAUAAAGAUGUCUUCUCUGGGUAGCUGCAGCUCUAUGAUACGCAUGGUGAGCAAUAGGAGUGCUUCUGUGCAGGGAAAAAGCCACCUAAGCCUAUUGAUUAUACCUAAUCAAUUACAGCUCUCAUACCUACUGAUUAUAUCUAUUGAUUAUACAUUCUCCUCACCUCCUUAUCCAGGUAGCCCUUCGCACUAGAGCUAGAGUGAUCCUUCUAGCAAGCUGCGUUCCUCGCCUGCUCAACCCCUCCAUACCACUCCCCACCCCCAUCCUCACGGCAGAGCCCGUGUGCAUGACAU